This 277-nucleotide unclassified non-coding RNA is filed under the name sea anemone metagenome. RNAcentral describes it as "partial contains small subunit ribosomal RNA and internal transcribed spacer 1". The stretch from base 1 to 155 matches the Rfam family "Eukaryotic small subunit ribosomal RNA", at positions 1678 to 1831 of the family's 1831-position model. The record is from RNAcentral.
GCAUCUACCGAUUGAAUGGAGAGGUAAAAUCUCCGGACUAUGACGCGUUGGGGUCAAACCUAAUGCAGUCGUGGGAAGUGGAUUAAACCUUUCCCUUUAGAGGAAGAUGAAGUCGUAACAAGGUUUCCGUAGGUGAACCUGCAGAAGGAUCAAGAGAGGAAGAGGACACGGGGGAACGCCAGGAACGAGGAGGGAGCUCGUAGGCAGAGUGGGGGGGGAAAAAAAAAAGAGAAAGACGAGGGUGCAAGGGGGAGACGGCGGCAGUGACGUGGCAGCG